CGCCGUGGCAGGAAGUGGUGGCGACUUCAGGGGAAGUUGAGGCUGGGUAAUCCCGGCGGGCCGUGCUGGUUUGGCCGGAUACGGCGGCCUAGAGGGGACGGUCUCGGCCCAGGUUCUUGCUCAGUCCGGUCCUGAAAGCAGCCGGGGUCCUGCUGCUACCCCAGGAGGGCGGCGUGUGGCCUUUGAUCCCGCGGAUGAUUAGGGGAUUUCUGGCCGGCGGGAGGCGCGUUCUUUCUCUCUUCAGCGCCGGGCGUGCCAGAAACUCGUCCUCGGGAGGGGAAGUGACUGGGCCAAAGUCGGUCACCUGGUGGCCCUCGCGGCAGGGCGAAGACGGUGGCGGGAGAUCAGCGGCCUUUCCUGAGGCCUCCCGGGUGCCAGGCUGCAGAGGUUGGAUUAGGCUCUGCACCCCGCCCCUAGUCUGUGGGGAGAAGGUCACAGAGGGGGACAGCUCUAGUUGCUGGAGGACCCCCACAUUUUUGCUGUGCCUACAAUUCUUCCAUUGCUUUCCACAGUCCAAUUCCACUAGAAGGUCAAUCUUUUCAGCCCUAAUUGCCUAUGUGAGAGAUGAAAGCUCAGUUCCCUGGGGUGACUGGAAUCUUACUGUUCCUCUCCUGUGAUGGUGGAAAGGUAACCACGACCAUGUAGAAGCUAAACUACUGCAUGGUCCUGACAUUAGAGAAAGCUAAUGAGAGGGAAAGAAAGAAAAGCAGACUGAGACUUCUGGACAGUAAGUAAGUCUGAUAAAAUGGGAAGCCCACUCCAUAUGCAAACUGACAAAAACACUUCAAUUCCUCUUGCACCAUUGCCAUUCUCUUAUAGGGAUAAUUGACAUUUCAUCAUUCUAAUAAAAAGUGGUAGGUAAACAGUCUUUGCCCACGUUCCAAUCCCUAAGCAAUUCUACAUUGUAAUUAAGACCUAUCAUUUGUGAAAGAAAAAAUGUUCUGACAGUAGACCAAAUUAAUAACAUCUAGUUUCUAGUUUUAAUUCUAAUAUGUAGGAAACAAAAAUGUUUGAAAACCCAGAGUAUGGGGUUACUAUAUUUUAUGUCUCUUAGCCCAACUGGAGCUGAAAUUAUGGGGAUGUGUACAUCAUACUCCUGAGACUCCAGUAGGAAGUACAGAGUCUCAGAUGCUGCAGGCCCUGAGAUGGGCAGAGGCUGGCAGUGCAUAACCUCACUGGGCCAAGUGACAGUUCCAAUGAGCCUUCAGUAUUACUGGGUCUUGAAGGACAAUUCAGACAGAUUAUGUAUUAGGCAGGCUGUAGCAGGAAGAAAUCUACAGCUGCCUGGAUUUGUCUGACCAGGAGCUGAUGCCCUGGAACUGCAUGGUUAUCAACUCAGUGGGCAAAAGGGACUAGAGCUCUUUCUCUUGUCCCUAUCAACUGGGGUUCUGCCCUACCCCUUGUUAAUGUAACCUUUAUAACAUUCAAAGUACAUUUGUUGGUGUCUCCCCCUGCCAGGUCUUCUCACCUGUGGAGCUACACUCAGUUUCCAGGCAAACUAAAAUUGACCCAGCUGUUCCUUCUCCAGUAAAUUCCACACUUUGUCAAAGGCCCCUCAAGUUCUGACUCCACAACAAAAUAAGAAAUACUCUUCACUGCACAGAGCUCAAGGUGCCUAGGUGUACAGGGCACAGUCCCAGCACAACCAUCCACAGGGGCACCUCAAGAGCCCCACAGCAUUGUCUCAGACUCCUUUUUGGACAUCGGUCAAAGGCAUGAUGCUGUGGGCCAUGAGCAAGGUUGGGUUCCUUUCCUUUCUGGAUUCUUCCCUGAUUUAAGCCUUGGUUUUCAGCAGCUUUUGGGGGUGGCCUGGACUACAGGGGGCCUAUGAACAUGCACCUGCCCACCUCUGAGGGUGUCUGCCUUUCCUGGCUGUUUCCAGCCCUACUGGACAGCACUGUCUGCAGCUUCCACUUCUUCCAGAGGUGACUGUACUGUCUUUGUGGUGACAGCCAUCAUCUCUGGACAGGUGGGCCUUAACAGCAUUUUGGGCCAUGUGCAUGGAAACCUCAUGGCAGCCACCCCCAUACAUGGUAGUUCUAAUUCGAGAAAAACUCACAACCUUCCUUGUGCCGAUGGCAGAGUACUUCAAAGUAAUCUAUUGCCCAAGCCCAGGCCAGUUCUUGGCUCAGACAUGGUGGCACAUGGGGCUCUGAACUUGCCCAUCCCCAAGGCACCUCUUCCAAGGUGGAAGGUAAGAGAUCCAUAGCUUAGCCUCUCAGUCAGACCAAGAUAUGUGGCUGGUCUAGAGAAACGAGCAAAUGAUUCAGUUGGGUACUAACUCUGGGUUUUUAUAGUGUCCUGUAUAGUCUAUGUAGACAGAGGUCAACUUCUGAAGAAUUCAUGGGGAUUGAUACUUAUUUGGCUUGCAAAUUGCUUCUAAGCCUGAUAGGACUAAUGUGGAAAUUGUAUCAUUCUAGAUGGUUCUAUUGGAAGUCAGGAUUGUGAGGACUGAAUCAGGCAGUGGUCUGGGGACAGGAAGGAGGUCAAUGAAGGGAUGGGGUGGGGUCAACUACUGGCAGUUUUCAGACACUAUAGACAUUCUCUUCAUGUGUCAGGCACUGGAUAUUAAACUUUUUGUGCCAAAUUCUCUAGGCAUCAGAGAGGUACUUGUUAAUUUUGGAGAUGAGUCUCAGUGAGAUUAGAUGAACUCCAAAAUCACAGAUCUAUUUCGUGCUGGACCUGGAAAAAGAAGCGAGGACUUCAUCAGGUAUAUCAGGUGGGAAAAUGAUUACAGAAAUAAGUAGGUUGUGGAGGGAAAAACAGAAUCCCAUGAUUUAGUUAGAAUGGAAUUUUUUUCUAUUUUUGUCCCUAGUAGAUUACCUGAAUCAAUGGGACAACAAAAUUGCUAUGGUUUCAUACCUAAAGAUCAAAUGGGUUGAGUUAGUAUCACUUUUUCAACAAUGUCUCUUUCAAGACCUCUACCCUGUUUCAUAUAAUUAUGUGUGUUUAUAUGUACAUAAUUACAUGAAUUAAAUAUGAAAUAUAUAUAUUUUUAUAUACUUGCAAAUAUAUGUAUAUUUCAUCUGCUGCUUCCAUCUCUGGCAUAGUCUCCUCUGAUUACCCUUUUCCACACCUUACUUAUCCACUGUCCCCUGGUGGUCACCCAGAUUGCCCCUUAGUCAUCAUCCUCAUAUAAUAGUCCCUUGCAGUCAUCUGAGAGAAUUUCUCUAGGACACAUACCCAAGAGGAGAAUUGGGCUAUAUUUUACUGAAUUUGUCAGAUUGCACCUUAGGAUGACUGUGGCAUUCACCCUCCAGCAAUAGUGCAUAGGAUCUACUCUAGGCUCACAUUCUCCAUAAUCACUUGGAAUGACCCAGUACUCCAAAAUUGUUAGUUUCAGCAGGGGAAGGGCAGCAUGGUCUGAAGAGCUACACUUGCUGAGGCAGUUCUGCAGUCUGGCUCCAUUUCCUGAAAUUCAGUCUAUGAUCUGUAUCUUUACAAAAGGACAAAUAUUGUAUGGUUGCACUGAUAUGUAAUAUCUAAAAUAAGCAAAUUCAUAUAUACUAUAAGUAGAAGUUAACAAGGGCUGAGGGCAGAAGGAAUGCAGAUCUAUUCUGUAAUUGGUACAGAGUUUCUCUUUUGGGUAAUGACAAAAUUCUGAUAAUGGAUAGUUGGGAUGGUAGCAAAACAUUGUAAAUGUAAUUAAUUCCACUUAAUUGUACACUAAAAAUGAAUAAAAUGGCACAUUUCAUGUGAUAUACAUGUUACCACAAUAAAAACAUGUCUUCAGUUCUCUAUGAGAUACUUUUUUUUGGUCACCAAAUAAAUCCCUUUAUACUGAAAGUAUUUGAAUGUGUUCUGUUUCUGCUCCUAAAUACCAUGAAAGGAAAUAGAACCUUUUUCCUUUUGGGGGUCGCCUGGGCUACCAGUUGAACUUUAUUUUUUCCUGGCUUAUUUAUAUCAUUUUUCUCUUUAACAAAAUUAAAAAAUGAAUCUAGAUUUCCUUAGUAAAAUAUUUAG
This 3963-nucleotide long non-coding RNA is filed under the name Dasypus novemcinctus (nine-banded armadillo). RNAcentral's name for it is "lncRNA (ENSDNOG00000051149.1)". The record is from RNAcentral. Lineage: Eukaryota; Metazoa; Chordata; Mammalia; Cingulata; Dasypodidae.